UGAUUUAAAUAAGAAUUUGGUUCGUGCAAAGCAUGUGUCAGUUAUGUUAGGGUAAAAUCAGCAAAGUAGAUACGACUCUUCCUUUAGAUUUCUCUGAUUUGAUAGCAUAGUAACAAAAUCAGUCUUCUCCUCUAGUCUGCCAUUGGUACUAUUUGGACUUAAUCUUGGAGUUCUCUUCUCAAGUCACAAAACACAUUUGUGUUAAAAGGAAUCCAAAUUUCCCUCAGCACUGCUCAUCACUCAUCAAACCUGCUGGUCUGUUGGUUUGGCUCUUUUCAACUGUUGUUGAUGUUAAAAAACACAUUCUUUCUCGUUCUCUCAUCAAGGAGAUACCAUUGCAAUUUUAUGGGCAGAGUUGAAAAGUCAAAGGAAACAUGUCAACAAUUUGAAAAAGAAUUCCCUCUGGUCCAAGAUAUUAGAAGAGGUAACAGUGAAACUUGUGGACAUUGUGCAUUUCCUUCAUUUGGAAAUCCAUGCUGCAUUUGGCUGUGCUGAUAGAGAGAGAUCUAUGAAAAA
Molecule: non-coding RNA, 516 nt
Organism: Solanum lycopersicum (tomato)
Lineage: Eukaryota; Viridiplantae; Streptophyta; Magnoliopsida; Solanales; Solanaceae
Source: RefSeq, a predicted model, not a curated record